This 74-nucleotide transfer RNA is filed under the name Danio rerio (zebrafish). It matches the Rfam family "tRNA". From Rfam's summary of the family: Transfer RNA (tRNA) molecules are approximately 80 nucleotides in length. Their secondary structure includes four short double-helical elements and three loops (D, anti-codon, and T loops). Further hydrogen bonds mediate the characteristic L-shaped molecular structure. tRNAs have two regions of fundamental functional importance: the anti-codon, which is responsible for specific mRNA codon recognition, and the 3' end, to which the tRNAs corresponding amino acid is attached (by aminoacyl-tRNA synthetases). tRNAs cope with the degeneracy of the genetic code in two manners: having more than one tRNA (with a specific anti-codon) for a particular amino acid; and 'wobble' base-pairing, i.e. permitting non-standard base-pairing at the 3rd anti-codon position. The record is from Rfam by way of RNAcentral. Lineage: Eukaryota; Metazoa; Chordata; Actinopteri; Cypriniformes; Danionidae.
UGCGCUGUGGCUUAGUUGGUCAAAGCGUCUGUCUAGUAAACAGAAGAUCCUCGGAUCAACUCCCAGAAGUGCCU